Molecule: ribosomal RNA, 408 nt
Filed under: uncultured prokaryote
Description: bacterial SSU rRNA
Rfam family: Bacterial small subunit ribosomal RNA
Source: RNAcentral
UGGGGAAUCUUGAGCAAUGGGCGGCAGCCUGACUCAGUGAUGUUAUGUGGGUGAUGAAGGAUAGUUCGUAAAACCCUAUAGGUACGUAAGACUACAUGGAUAUGUUGCGACUAGAAAAAGUUCCGGCCAAUACCUGUGCCAGCAGUCGCGGUAAGACAGGAGGAGCGAGCGUUAUUCAGCUUGAUUGGGCGUAAAGGAUACGUAGGUGGUAUAUCAAACUAUUUGUUGAAAUUCUGGAACUAAAACUUGCAGGAGUCGCUAUUAGAAUGAAUAUACUGGAGUUGUGAAGGUGUCUUGGGAAUUUCCUGAGAAGUGAUAAAAUACUAUGAUACUGGAAGGAACAUUGGGGGCGAAAGCAUUUGGCAAUUCAUCUCUGACGCUGAGGUAUGAAGGUGUGGGGAGCAAACG